CCUACGGGGGGCAGCAGUGGGGAAUAUUGCGCAAUGGGCGAAAGCCUGACGCAGCGACGCCGCGUGAGGGAUGAAGGUCUUCGGAUCGUAAACCUCUGUCAGCAGGGAAGAACGGUCAGUGUGCUAAUCAGCAGUGACUUGACGGUACCUGCAAAGGAAGCACCGGCUAACUCCGUGCCAGCAGCUGCGGUAAUACGGAGGGUGCGAGCGUUAAUCGGAAUUACUGGGCGUAAAGGGCGCGUAGGCGGUAUGUCAAGUCAAGGGUGAAAUCCCCGCGCUCAACGUGGGAACUGCCUUUGAAACUGGCAAACUGGAGUGUGGGAGAGGAAAGUGGAAUGCCAGGUGUAGGAGUGAAAUCCGUAGAUAGCAGGAGGAACAUCAGUGGCGAAGGCGACUAUCUGGCACAUAACUGACGCUGAGGAGCGAAAGCGUGGGUAGCAAACAGGAUUAGAUACCCGAGUAGUC
This 465-nucleotide ribosomal RNA is filed under the name uncultured bacterium. Its description in RNAcentral is "partial 16S ribosomal RNA". It matches the Rfam family "Bacterial small subunit ribosomal RNA", at positions 338 to 795 of the family's 1533-position model. The record is from RNAcentral.